GACGAACGCUGGCGGCGUGCUUAACACAUGCAAGUCGAACGGAAAGGCCCUGCUUUUGUGGGGUGCUCGAGUGGCGAACGGGUGAGUAACACGUGAGUAACCUGCCCUUGACUUUGGGAUAACUUCAGGAAACUGGGGCUAAUACCGGAUAGGAGCUCCUGCUGCAUGGCGGGGGUUGGAAAGUUUCGGCGGUUGGGGGUGGACUCGCGGCUUAUCAGCUUGUUGGUGGGGUAGUGGCUUACCAAGGCUUUGACGGGUAGCCGGCCUGAGAGGGUGACCGGCCACAUUGGGACUGAGAUACGGCCCAGACUCCUACGGGAGGCAGCAGUGGGGAAUAUUGCACAAUGGGCGGAAGCCUGAUGCAGCAACGCCGCGUGCGGGAUGACGGCCUUCGGGUUGUAAACCGCUUUCGCCUGUGACGAAGCGUGAGUGACGGUAAUGGGUAAAGAAGCACCGGCUAACUACGUG
Molecule: ribosomal RNA, 468 nt
Filed under: uncultured bacterium
Lineage: Bacteria
Description: partial 16S ribosomal RNA
Rfam family: Bacterial small subunit ribosomal RNA
Source: RNAcentral